GAUGAACGCUGGCGGCGUGCCUAACACAUGCAAGUCGAGCGGCAGCGAGGGGUGCUUGCACCCUGUCGGCGAGCGGCGGACGGCUGAGUAACGCGUGGGAACGUGCCCCAAAGUGAGGAAUAACUGCCCGAAAGGGUAGCUAAUACCGCAUAUUAUCUUCGGAUCAAAGGAUUUAUCCGCUUUGGGAGCGGCUCGCGUCGGAUUAGGUAGUUGGUGAGGUAAUGGCUCACCAAGCCGACGAUCCGUAGCUGGUCUGAGAGGAUGACCAGCCAGACUGGAACUGAGACACGGUCCAGACUCCUACGGGAGGCAGCAGUGAGGAAUCUUCCACAAUGGGCGAAAGCCUGAUGGAGCAACGCCGCGUGCAGGACGAAGGCCUUCGGGUUGUAAACUGCUUUUAAAAGUGAGGAAUAUGACGGUAACUUAUGAAUAAGGAUCGGCUAACUACGUG
Molecule: ribosomal RNA, 451 nt
Filed under: uncultured bacterium
Lineage: Bacteria
Description: partial 16S ribosomal RNA
Rfam family: Bacterial small subunit ribosomal RNA
Source: RNAcentral